This 464-nucleotide unclassified non-coding RNA is filed under the name Hevea brasiliensis (rubber tree). Lineage: Eukaryota; Viridiplantae; Streptophyta; Magnoliopsida; Malpighiales; Euphorbiaceae. The record is from RNAcentral.
UUUGAACCCUUCUGUAGUGAAGGUCAGGAAGAUUUUAAGUUGAUGUCUAAAAUCCAAAUUAAGUUCUUCAAAAUUGUUCAAAAUAAAUUUUAUCAUCGCAAAUUUAGUUGUCAUUCAAGUUCAAGAUCAACUUGAAUGUCUUUGGCAUUAUAUUUAUUUACAUAAUCAAGUGAUGUCAAAUAGGACUUAAUUUGUAUUACUUUUAGGUGCCGUAACCCUUUACAACAAUAACAAUUAAACCUUGAUUCCAAACUAGUUGGAGUUGACCAUAUGGAACCAUUUUCGCUAUUUAGCCCUAUUUGAGACAAUUCAGUAUUAAUAUUCAAAAAUUAUAGUUCUUUUGAUAUAAUUUUCCUCCACGUUAUUCUAGGUUUCUUCCUUUCCCUCCUCACUUCUUCUACCCCUAAUUUAUCAUAUUUCUAUAUCAGAGUAUUUGAUUCUCUACAUUGGACAUGAUAAAACCA